AGAGUUUGAUCAUGGCUCAGAAUGAACGUUGGCGGCGUGGAUUAGGCAUGCAAGUCGUACGGGCCGCAAGGCCAGUGGCGCAAGGGUGAGUAAGGCGACGGCAACCAACCCCAUGGUCGGGCAUAGCCGAGGGAAACCUCGGGUAAUUCCCGGCGACGUGGCGGGGGGGCAUCCCCCGGCCACCACAGGUGCGAUUCCGCCGUGGGACGGGCCGUCGUGGUAUUAGGUAGUUGGCGGGGUAACGGCCCACCAAGCCUGCGAUGCCUACCGGGCGUGCGAGCGUGGCCCGGCACACUGGGACUGAGACACUGCCCAGACUCCUACGGGAGGCUGCAGUCGAGAAUCUUCGGCAAUGGGCGCAAGCCUGACCGAGCGACGCCGCGUGGAGGACGAAGGCCUUCGGGUUGUAAACUCCUGUCGAGGGGGAGGAAGGCCGCGCGAAGAGCGUGGCUUGACCGAUCCCUGGAGGAAGCACGGGCUAAGUUCGUGCCAGCAGCCGCGGUAAGACGAACCGUGCGAACGUUAUUUGGAAUCACUGGGCUUAAAGCGCGUGUAGGCGGGCCGGCACGUCCGGUGCUGAAAUCCCCCGGCUCAACCGGGGAA
RNAcentral lists this ribosomal RNA (603 nucleotides) under uncultured bacterium. RNAcentral describes it as "bacterial SSU rRNA". It matches the Rfam family "Bacterial small subunit ribosomal RNA", at positions 8 to 620 of the family's 1533-position model. The record is from RNAcentral.